RNAcentral lists this ribosomal RNA (468 nucleotides) under uncultured bacterium. Its description in RNAcentral is "partial 16S ribosomal RNA". It matches the Rfam family "Bacterial small subunit ribosomal RNA", at positions 28 to 507 of the family's 1533-position model. The record is from RNAcentral.
GACGAACGCUGGCGGCGUGCUUAACACAUGCAAGUCGAACGGAAAGGCCCUGCUUUUGUGGGGUGCUCGAGUGGCGAACGGGUGAGUAACACGUGAGUAACCUGCCCUUGACUUUGGGAUAACUUCAGGCAACUGGGGCUAAUACCGGCUAGGAGCUCCUGCUGCAUGGUGGGGGUUGGAAAGUUUCGGCGGUUGGGGAUGGACUCGCGGCUUAUCAGCUUGUUGGUGGGGUAGUGGCUUACCAAGGCUUUGACGGGUAGCCGGCCUGAGAGGGUGACCGGCCACAUUGGGACUGAGAUACGGCCCAGACUCCUACGGGAGGCAGCAGUGGGGAAUAUUGCACAAUGGGCGGAAGCCUGAUGCAGCAACGCCGCGUGCGGGAUGACGGCCUUCGGGUUGUAAACCGCUUCCGCCUGUGACGAAGCGUGAGUGACGGUAAUGGGUAAAGAAGCACCGGCUAACUACGUG